CUACGGCUGCUGCAGUGGGGAAUAUUGCACAAUGGGCGCAAGCCUGAUGCAGCCAUGCCGCGUGUAUGAAGAAGGCCUUCGGGUUGUAAAGUACUUUCAGCGGGGAGGAAGGGAGUAAAGUUAAUACCUUUGCUCAUUGACGUUACCCGCAGAAGAAGUACCGGCUAACUCCGUGCCAGCAGCCGCGGUAAUACGGAGGGUGCAAGCGUUAAUCGGAAUUACUGGGCGUAAAGCGCACGCAGGCGGUUUGUUAAGUCAGAUGUGAAAUCCCCGGGCUCAACCUGGGAACUGCAUCUGAUACUGGCAAGCUUGAGUCUCGUAGAGGGGGGUAGAAUUCCAGGUGUAGCGGUGAAAUGCGUAGAGAUCUGGAGGAAUACCGGUGGCGAAGGCGGCCCCCUGGACGAAGACUGACGCUCAGGUGCGAAAGCGUGGGGAGCAAACAGGAUUAGAUACCCCGGUAGUC
This 463-nucleotide ribosomal RNA is filed under the name uncultured bacterium. Its description in RNAcentral is "partial 16S ribosomal RNA". It matches the Rfam family "Bacterial small subunit ribosomal RNA", at positions 339 to 795 of the family's 1533-position model. The record is from RNAcentral.